CUGCAUGUCUCCGGCAGCUGCGUUGCCUUCUACGCUAGACAAUUAUAUCAUACAUCCGCUAAGGGUAACUACAAGGUGUUCUUCACGGAGCUCAAUUGAGCUGAAUUAGUCGAGUUGUUGGGUAAGCUAACUAAGCAUCCUUUUGGAACUAUGCUUUCAUCACGUAUUUGAAAGAUAGCAGAACAUACAUUUCAUCCACAUGCAAAGAACUGAAGUAAUUAAAGAUAGUGUGAAUUAGUACAAUUUACUGCAGAUUCAAGAACUAUUGUAAACAUUGCAAUGGAAUACUUCAGAUUUAGUAGAAUUUGUUGUAAGGUAAUGAUAUUACGUAUAUAAAUGAUUGAAAACAAUUUAAUUAGUUGUUUCCUUCUGUGUUAUUUUUAAAAUAUAAUUUCACAGAAUUAGCCUUUUGAUUCAUUUUGUUUUCUAUGAUAAAUUUGUGAUUACUAUGUCAAAUGUAAGAAACCUAUAUAUUAAGAUGCUUUUCUUCAUGUAAAUUGUGUAGACCUUAGAUUACUAGGUUGAUUGUAUUCUCUUAGCAUUGCUCAUCGUGCCUUGAAAGAAUGUGUUUCCAACAGUGCUAGAACUGUUUAAAAAUGUCAGGAAUGAUAUCGUCCGCAUCAUCAGUUGAUGAGAGAAAUAUGUGCAGAAGAUUUUUAUAGGAUCAUUCUAGGCUUAGACAUAAGUUGUAGAUAAUUGAUUUACAUCCAAUAACAACCUAGAAAGUGUUUGACACUCAAGAUAUAAAAUUGACUUUGGAAUCAAGAAGUUUUUAUUCCAUAUGUAUAUAUGACUAUCAUAUAUGCUAGACUAUCAUAUAAUUAUAUACGAUCAUUAAGUAUCCACUAUUCACAAUCACGUACGACUAGAAGGUUUUUACAAGAUUGUGAUGUAGCAGCUGGGCAUGCCGGGCCACAUAUCAUGAAAUCCCUCCUCUCUUCUCCAUCUUGAUGAAUUCAGCGGAGAGACACCAAUAUUUUUGCUUUAUUUGUAAUUUCUCAUCAAGACAUUUUUUUUGGUUUUGUACAUUUUUCACGACACAACGCUUACCAGACUAUGAAUUAUAGGGAGUGAAGGAGAACCAACCAGCUGAGAUAAUCUAUGUGGCAUUUGCUGCCAACUAGCAGAGUUGUGUACAUAUAGAAAUCAACCACUGUCAGCCAAAUCUUUUUGAUGUUUAUAGAAGCUUUAUAGACGUUUUCCUAAGUAAAGGAUUUCGAGAUUGUACGUUUUUUCCAAUAUGUGCUAACUUUCAGAUUAUCUGCAUGUAUAACAAACAUUUCUUUUGUCCAGGAAUAAGAAACAUAUCUUAUAAAGUGUAUAAUAUUUUAUUGGUAGAUUUGUAAGAUUUAAGUAUUGUUGGUUGUGCAAGAAAAUAGCUUCAUGUAUGGAUUAUUGAGUUACACAUGCUUCUGUUUAUGGUUUGUUUGUUGUAUUUGGAAACAGAUCUAGAUAGAUGAUCUUUAUAAUACAGAACAUUCAUAUUAAAAUUUUCCUGUGUUUUUAGCCAUGUAUUCCAUAUUAUCAUUGUUUUUUUAGUAAUAUGUGUGAUCCUUCCUUUGCAGUUACAGUAUUCAGAUAGCAUAGUUUCCACUUACAGAAAAUAUGCUAAAAGAAUUUUCAGUUACACUUUCCGAGUGCCCUCACAAUGAUUUUCAUGUUUCUUGCAAGGGCUUCUACAUAAGGAUAAAUCUGUUCUAAAAAAUAGUAGAUUUAUGUAGUCCCAUUAUGCGCAGCAAUAUUCACGCAUGCCUCUACAUCUACUUCAUUGAAUAGUAAUCUGCAAUCUUCAUUAGCAUAGAACAACAAAAUCUGUGAGAAAACUUACACAUCUUUAUCUCAAAUCGUUAAAUGGGUUUAGGUACUACCAAUUUCAAUAUGGUCGCUUAUGUUUCUUUUGUCAUUGAUAGUUUCUCACAAGUCCUAACUUCUACAGGUAAGGAAUUGAUUUACCUCUUGAUAGUUUUCUUUCCUUUGGAAUUUAUCUUUCUGUUGCAACCAAAUUACAUUAUUAUUUUCUGUAAAUCGAAGUUGAAAUCCAUGGUUUCUCUAUGCUGGUAAAAAAUAAAGUACCCAAUCUCUUUUCUUAACACAAUAUGCAUCUUAUCUUCUCUCAUGUAAGCAAUCUCGAUAAGACUCCUCUAUCUUUAAACCACACUCAAGUCCAUGGUUUUCCUCGGCGCGACAAACUAUAGUUGGAUCAGUGCUUCAAAAGACGUGGCGUGGGCUUGAAGGAUAUGCCGAAGGCAUCCGAUGGUUGGAGGGAUCGCCAAGGGGAGGUUCCCAGGGUUAUGAACUACCAAGUAAUUUGUAUUUUCUUUAUUACUGUAUUUUUUGUUUGUCCUAAAUACUAGAUUCAUAUUUCUUGCUUUCCAUUGUUUGUAAUAUUAUCCAAACUCCUCACGUGUUUAUGUUGCUUGAAUAUUUCAGACUGAGUUAGAAGUAAACCACAUGUCUUUCAUAGUACUUCUGGAUGGUCAUAGCUAAAAUGAUAGCCUGGCUGUGUACACUAUUUGGUCACAGCUAAAAUGAUAGCCUGGUUGUGUACACUACUUCAAGAAUUUCUCUGACCAACCACUGUUACUUAUAAACUACAGAGGCUCACUGGCCUAUCCACAACUAUUUCAGAUUGUUAAACCUCGCCUAAUCUCAUUGUAUCUUUUUGCAUUAUGUUUUGGCUAGAAUUAUCAUACAUGAUUUAUCUUUGUCUCUUUCAUACACAUUCUUUCUGCAUGAGAAUUGAGGAGGCUAAACAAUGGCAUAAAUCAGAACAGUGACACACUUAUCAUGAGAUGGUACUUCUGUACAAACAGGGUAAGAAAGCUAUUGGAAUUUGGUGAACUUAUUAAUCGGUGAUGUUGUAAUAACUGACAAAGAGGUUGCUGAGUUCAGUCUUACAAAUAGAAAGAUGCAUGGGUACUUCUGCCCAGUCUCUAUUUGGUUUUCAGUAGUGAAGCUACAACUACUUUUUGUUUUUAGUAUGAAAAAUCCAAUUUUUGCACAUUGUUAGCCAGAUUCUCAAAUGAUUUUGAAGACCUUUAGUCUCUAUUUUGUACGCCCAUGGAGAUGCUUGCUAAGUACAGUUGCAUCACAAAAUCUUAUGUGUGUUGUGGACUAUUCUUACCCGUUGAUAAUGCUACUUAGGAAACCACUUGGAUGCCAUCGCAGAACAGAGAAAGAGGCGCUAUGGACUAGGGUUUACAUGCUGGCUACGACCGACUGAAAACAUAAGACAUGGAUUGACACAGAAACAUGGUAUUAAAAAUUCCGUACUCCAAUAUAAUCUAGAAAAUAAUGAGUCGGCCUUUCCUUCAUGAGCUUAUUUUCUUUAUGGUUCAUGUACAGAAAAAGAAAUAAACAUUAUAGCCCAGAUGAUAAGAACAGUGGUUUCUCUCAACGACGCACGCUUAAUUGGCAGAGUAUGCUCCUAGCAUAUACUAGGUUAAGUGAUGUUUCAGAAUACACAUGGAAAGUGACUUGAUGGAAGCUAAGAAAAAAUAUACUGUAUCUCAAUCUAAGUGGCAACCAGUUCCAACGUGUAUAAUUAUUAUGUGCUAAUGCACAAAAGUCCUCAAGUAUAUCACUCAUCAUGUCACUAGCUUCCUGUUCAUGGCGCGCCCAUGCUGCUGUAUGUUCUUACCAGAUUGAACUCCUUCAGUAACUACCUUAAUUCCUGCAGCUAUGGCCUACAUGCUACUAUAUUAUCCUUGAGCUUAGUUUUAUUUGGAAGGGAGAAAGGAAGGAAUGUUGAUGACCCACCAUCCAGCGGCCAACCCAAUGCAAGGUAGAAGUACGAUAAAUCAAGACUAUGGUCUAUUAAUUUGCCUGCUUGAAUACAAAAUGCGUUUAUCUUGCAUGGGUGGAUGAUUCAUGAAUUUAUAUAUGUUACCCGAAAAAAAGAAUUUAUAUAUGUGAACAAUUCAUUAGCUCCUUGAUGUAUUAAUAUAAUUAUUUUUAUGUAACAUCUGUUAGAUAUAAUCUUCACAUUGUGUAUAUACACGUACUUCGGAAACACAAAUAAAGGAAUUUCCAUUGUUGCUUAGUUAAGAGAAAGGAUAAGAACAAAGUAAACAAUACUCAAUUGACGUAUAAACAAAUUAAAGGAAUUUUCAUUGUUGCAUAGUGAAAUUUCUAAAAAGACUUAUAU
This 4147-nucleotide long non-coding RNA is filed under the name Triticum aestivum (bread wheat). RNAcentral describes it as "long non-coding RNA (TAES_LNC010547)". Lineage: Eukaryota; Viridiplantae; Streptophyta; Magnoliopsida; Poales; Poaceae. The record is from RNAcentral.